RNAcentral lists this ribosomal RNA (481 nucleotides) under uncultured bacterium. RNAcentral describes it as "partial 16S ribosomal RNA". It matches the Rfam family "Bacterial small subunit ribosomal RNA", at positions 28 to 507 of the family's 1533-position model. The record is from RNAcentral.
GAUGAACGCUGGCGGCGUGCUUAACACAUGCAAGUCGAACGAAGCACUUUAUUUGAUUUCCUUCGGGACUGAUUAUUUUGUGACUGAGUGGCGGACGGGUGAGUAACGCGUGGGUAACCUGCCUUGUACAGGGGGAUAACAGUUGGAAACGGCUGCUAAUACCGCAUAAGCGCACAGCAUCGCAUGAUGCAGUGUGAAAAACUCCGGUGGUAUAAGAUGGACCCGCGUUGGAUUAGCUAGUUGGUGAGGUAACGGCCCACCAAGGCGACGAUCCAUAGCCGACCUGAGAGGGUGACCGGCCACAUUGGGACUGAGACACGGCCCAAACUCCUACGGGAGGCAGCAGUGGGGAAUAUUGCACAAUGGGCGAAAGCCUGAUGAAGCGACGCCGCGUGAGCGAAGAAGUAGUUCGGUAUGUAAAGCUCUAUCAGAAGGGAAGAUAAUGACGGUACCUGACUAAGAAGCACCGGCUAAAUACGUG